CCGGGCCGCCCCUGGGCGGUGCUUCUGUCGGCGGGGGCGCGGAGGGGGCCCGGCAGCACCGUGCCGCGCAGAUGGCGGCGAAAAGUGCAGGUUUCAGUGAGGGUGGUGUGGCUCGUGUCAGACUCCUUGACCCUGUGGAGGUGCUUUGGAGACUUGGCACCAAAGUGGUGCCUGCAGUCAGUGAGUGUGCCUGUAACACGACAUACAGAGGGAAAAUCCUUCAUUCAUCUUUACCAAGCUCCAGAAGGUGGAGAGAGGGCCAGUGGAGACAUGUAAUGAAUGUCGAUAACUACAUUUAAUUUCUUUGGCAAGUGAUACUAGGAAACCACUGAACAGAAAGAGAAGUAAGAAUCCUUAUUUUCAGCCAUUCUAUGGGACCCACUGCAAGUUAGAGGAGAAAUGGAGGAACUCUCCAAACAAGUUGCUGGUGGAGGUAUUGUGGAAGUAGAAGAAAGUGGUUUCAUCACUGGCCCACUAUGGACUUAAUGUUUUGAAAAAAUAAAUUUUGCUGAAGCAAAACCAUUUGCAUUCUUAUCUGUAGCUGGUCAGCUAUUUAAAUGGCACUGAAGAUUACUUCCUUCUGUGACUUUCCUAUGGUUUAAGGAACAAAUAAAUCAUACUGCUAUUGCAGCAUCUCCCUCAUGUGAGGCUUCGGUGUGAGAUUUAAGUUAGCAGGGUUUAGUGAGUGUCAUUUGCACUGUGGCAACUGUGGACAUGGGGAUGAAUAGGCUCUUAGCUGGCAGCCAAGACCUGGUGAUGUGACUUGUUCUGACAGGAGAGAAGGCUAAGCUAACUUGCUUAUAGCAAAUGCAAAGUAAUACAUGCUGACAAUUUCUGCAGAUCAGCUGAUGUAUUACAAGUUGUUAAUAUGAGGUAACUUCAUGGUACUUCUGAGAUCACAAGACACUUUAGUGUGCCACACUUCUCUCUGCUUAGACUCUGUUCUAACAAUAAUGGUCUUUCUGUAGGCUGCUAUGGAUUUCCGAUCUCUAUGCAUGCAAAUAUAUUGCAUUACACGCACAAUACCUUGAUACUGCAAAUUAUACAAGGAUUCAUACUGGUUGGAGUAGUCCUAUGUCAAAAUAGCUAUAGUAUAUGUAAUGGAGCAGAAUCAAUAGUGAAAUGACAGUAAUUGUGACAAAGGUAGUUCGUUCCAAACAGAGACUUGCACCAAUAAAAUAGAGAGGAGAAGCUUGAAGUCAUUCUGUGUGGCAACAAGAUGUUCCCAUCUGAGCCUUAGUAAGACAGGGUGGAAGGAAACAAUGCUUUAAGGAAGCUGCACUGCAGCAGCCUUUGACAGGAUUUCACACUGCUUACUCAAAAGGGAAAUGUUAAAGGUGAAAAGCCAAACAACUAGAGAAUGAAAAUGUUUCCUCAUCUCUUUUCCCAUCCUCCCUAGUAUGGACAGAUGAAUUCCAACAUUAAUGAAAGGACAGCAUGUACUUUGAAUUUUGAGGAAUACUGAAUGCUGUUCUGUAUGCAUGAAAGGUUGGAUGGGAUGGGAAAACCCACAUGGAAUUCAGAGUGAAAUAAUCCAAUGGGAGAAAAAAUCCUUUUUUUUUUUUUUUUUGUAUUUGUACUUAAUGUGUUUUAGUCCAUGGUUUCCAUUGCAGCAUGGAUCACUUAGGGGUAUUCUUACGCUAACCCAUGUCUUAAGCAAACCUUAUUUUUCUUAGAAUAGGUUUGAUUAAGUAUUAUUUUUGCUUCCCAUUUCAAAUACUUGUUCUAAAUAAUCAAAGAAACAUAGCUAGGGAAAAAAGACCUUGAUUACAACAGCAUGGAGACUGUUGUUCUUGGCAUAAUUUUAAAGGCUAGGCAGACCUUAGACUAAAAAAUAUAUUCCUGUCAAGAAUUUCCCUUCAAGCCCCUUGACU
Molecule: long non-coding RNA, 1874 nt
Filed under: Gallus gallus (chicken)
Lineage: Eukaryota; Metazoa; Chordata; Aves; Galliformes; Phasianidae
Source: RNAcentral